CACAAGAACGGUGCAGCCCUCGAGAAAUUUUGAAGGCGAGCAUCAGUGGUGGGAGUAUGGACAGAAGAUAGACGUAAGUCUUCAGCAGAGCGUAAGGGCCUAGACACACUUGUGUAUUAGGAAGGAUAGAUAGGAGCAGCAUUAUGUAGCAAGAACCAUAAUUUUAAAUUGAGCCCUAUAUCUUUACAGGAGGCCUAUGUGGGGACUGACAGAAAGGUGAGGUGUGGGCGGACAGGAAGAUGAGCCCCGCCGUCGCAUUCAUUAUGGACUGGGAGCUGUUGGGAGCAUGUAAGGCCACUGAGAAGCAGAUUACAAUAGUCAAGGCGAGAAAGGACAAAGGAAUGAACCAGCACCUUAGUCGCAUCUGGUGUUAAGUAGGGUCGGAUGCGCACAAUGUUUUUGAGAUGGAACCAGCAAGAUUUGGCGAUAGACUGAACAUUAGGCGUGAAGGAGAGGUUGGCGUCAAAGAGAACACCUAGGCAGCGAGCCUCUGUGGUGGAGAUGAUGUUUGCACCGUUGACUUGGAGACAGACAGGACACAGGAGUAGCAACACUUGAGGGAGGAAAGACCAGAAUUUCAGUUUUGGUCAAGUUGAGUUUAAGGAAGUGGACAUCCAUCCAGUUAGAAAUAGCAGAGAGGCGAUCAGAGACACUUGUCAAGAGGGACGGGGAGAGCUCAAGAGAGGACAAGUAGAUUUGCGUGUCAUCCGCAUAGAAAUGAUAUUGGAAGCCAAAGAAGCUAAUGAGUUUACCAAGGGAGGCAGUAUAGAUGGAGAACAGUAGCGGACCAAGGACUGAAACUUGGGGGACACCAACAGAGAGGAGUUGGGGAGAAGAAGCAGAGCCAGAGAAAGAAGCCCUGGAAGAGGUAGGAGGAGCACCAGGAGAGAGCAAUAUCUUGUAGACCGAUAUUGCGGAGGAAAGGAAGAAGCUGCUGAUGAUCAACAGUGUCAAAAGCCGCACAAAGGUCAAGGAGAAUUAGGAUAGAGUAGUAACCACGAGAUUUUGCAGCGAGUAGAUCAUUGGAUACUUUGGUCAGUGCUGUUUCCACAGAGUGCUUAGCGCGGAAACCAGACUGAAGCGGGUCUUGCAAAAUCUCGCAUACACAACUCUUUCAAGGAUCUUGGAUGCAAAAGGCAGUAGCGAGAUAGGACUGUAAUUGGAUGGGGAGUUAGGGCCAAGGUUGGGCUUCUUUAGAAUUGGGGUUACAGUUGCAUGUUUGAAGGGCGAUGGAAAUAUGCCAGAGGAGAGAGAUUGAGAAUUUUAGUGAAAGGUAGAGAAAGAGAAGAAGACAGAGUACGGAUGAGAUUGGAUCUAGGGUGCAGGUGGUGGGGCGGGAGGACUGGAGCAGAGCAGAAACCUCUUCCGCUGUAGCGGGUGCAAAUGAAUGUACAACAGCAGAGGGAGUGAGGUUAGGUGAAGUAUUGUAAGGGGAAGAAGAAAGAUGAGAGAUCUCUUCCCUGAUUGUAGAGAUAUUGUCCGUGAAGUGAGUUGCAAAGUCUGAGGCAGUCAAGUUAGUAGGUGGAGGAGGAACAAUAGGGCGUAGAAGAGAGUUAAAUGUGUGAAAUAGUUGUUUGGGUUCAUAGGAGAGUGUGGUAAUGAGGGUAUUGAGGUAAUUUACUUUUGCAGAGGAAAGAGCCAAGCUGUAUGAGUGCAGCAUAAAUUUAUAGUGAAGAAAAUCAGGCGCACAGUGAGACUUUCUCCAACAGCGUUUAGUAGUUCUGGAGCAUUUUUGGAGAUCUCAAGUCAGCUUGGUGUGCCAAGGUUGUUGUUGGGGGCGCUUGCUGCGUUUAAAUGUAGGAGGUGCCAUGAUGUCUAGUUGAGAGGAGAGGGUGGAAUUGUAGAAGGAGAUUGCAGAGCUGGGACAGGUGAGGUUUGAGAUAGGUAAAAGGAGUUUGGAGAUUAGUG
RNAcentral lists this long non-coding RNA (1908 nucleotides) under Pelobates cultripes (western spadefoot toad). The record is from RNAcentral. Lineage: Eukaryota; Metazoa; Chordata; Amphibia; Anura; Pelobatidae.